Molecule: ribosomal RNA, 492 nt
Filed under: uncultured bacterium
Lineage: Bacteria
Description: partial 16S ribosomal RNA
Rfam family: Bacterial small subunit ribosomal RNA
Source: RNAcentral
AGUGAACGCUGGCGGUAGGCCUAACACAUGCAAGUCGAACGGCAGCACAGUAAGAGCUUGCUCUUACGGGUGGCGAGUGGCGGACGGGUGCGGAAUACAUCGGAAUCUACUUUUUCGUGGGGGAUAACGUAGGGGAACUUACGCUAAUACCGCAUACGACCUACGGGUGAAAGCAGGGGAUCUUCGGACCUUGCGCGAUUGAAUGAGCCGAUGUCGGAUUAGCUAGUUGGCGGGGUAAAGGCCCACCAAGGCGACGAUCCGUAGCUGGUCUGAGAGGAUGAUCAGCCACACUGGAACUGAGACACGGUCCAGACUCCUACGGGAGGCAGCAGUGGGGAAUAUUGGACAAUGGGCGCAAGCCUGAUCCAGCCAUACCGCGUGGGUGAAGAAGGCCUUCGGGUUGUAAAGCCCUUUUGUUGGGAAAGAAAAGCAGCAGGUUAAUACCCCGCUGUUCUGACGGUACCCAAAGAAUAAGCACCGGCUAACUUCGUG